RNAcentral lists this ribosomal RNA (372 nucleotides) under uncultured bacterium. RNAcentral's name for it is "bacterial SSU rRNA". It matches the Rfam family "Bacterial small subunit ribosomal RNA", at positions 11 to 384 of the family's 1533-position model. The record is from RNAcentral.
GUUUGAUCCUGGCUCAGAAUGAACGCUGGCGGCGUGCCUAACACAUGCAAGUCGGAUGUGCCGCAAGGUGCAUGGCAGACGGGUGAGUAACGCGUGGGGAAUCUACCUCUUUGUGGGGAAUAACGCUCCGAAAGGAGUGGUAAUACCGCAUGAGAUCCAUGGCUGGGAUGCUGUGGAUGAAACCUGGGGACCGCAAGGCCUGGGGCAAGGAGAGGAUCCUGCGUCUGAUUAGCUAGUUGGUGAGGUAAUGGCCCACCAAGGCGACGAUCAGUAGCCGGCCUGAGAGGGUGAUCGGCCACACUGGAACUGAGACACGGUCCAGACUCCUACGGGAGGCAGCAGUGGGGAAUUUUGCGCAAUGGGCGAAAGCCU